Molecule: transfer RNA, 76 nt
Filed under: bacterium
Lineage: Bacteria
Description: tRNA-Pro
Rfam family: tRNA
About the family: Transfer RNA (tRNA) molecules are approximately 80 nucleotides in length. Their secondary structure includes four short double-helical elements and three loops (D, anti-codon, and T loops).
Source: RNAcentral
CGGGGAAUAGCGCAGUUGGUAGCGCGCCGGCUUUGGGAGCCGGAGGCCCCGGGUUCGAGUCCCGGUUCCCCGACCA